GGGUUGUGAGGUUAAGCGACUAAGCGUACACGGUGGAUGCCCUGGCAGUCAGAGGCGAUGAAGGACGUGCUAAUCUGCGAAAAGCGUCGGUAAGGUGAUAUGAACCGUUACAGCCGGCGAUGUCCGAAUGGGGAAACCCAGUGCAAUUCGUUGCACUAUCGUUAACUGAAUACAUAGGUUAACGAGGCGAACCGGGGGAACUGAAACAUCUAAGUACCCCGAGGAAAAGAAAUCAACCGAGAUUCCCCCAGUAGCGGCGAGCGAACGGGGAGCAG
RNAcentral lists this ribosomal RNA (275 nucleotides) under Klebsiella pneumoniae. Its description in RNAcentral is "partial 23S ribosomal RNA". It matches the Rfam family "Bacterial large subunit ribosomal RNA", at positions 1 to 267 of the family's 2925-position model. The record is from RNAcentral. Lineage: Bacteria; Pseudomonadati; Pseudomonadota; Gammaproteobacteria; Enterobacterales; Enterobacteriaceae.